GUUUAUAUGAUUUUCUAGUAGACUUACUAGUAACUUACUUACGGUAGGAAGAUCCAAAUUAAGGAAAGAUCCGUUAUCCGGAAAACCCCAGGUCCUGAGUAUUGUGGAUAACAGGUCCCAUAUCUGCAUUAUAGUAUAAUCCAGGAGAUAUGAAACAAAGCUAUUCAAGUAGAAUGAAGAAUAUCUGUGUUGUCCAUGUGAAAUUAAUAAAAUAUGAUUACGGCCAAAAACAAAUGUGACAAUACAGAACUCCUAGUUAUAAACUCAUAGCACAUUAUUGAUUCAGACAGGGGAUGGUGCUAUCUUUGGCAAUUUGAUAUGAAUAUGGCCCAGACCCAGUUCAGGUUUGGAACUGGCCAAUCUGCUUGCAGUGUCAUACUUUAUAAUUGGUGCUUCCACUCCUACACACUAGGUGCUACUUCACAUCAUGAUCCUGCCUCUUCUGUAUAGGUAAAAAGGGAAUAAAACGGAAUUGCUCUAAUGAGCAGUGAGACGUUUUCCCUGUGUCUCCCAUAAAACUAUGGCAGCAUAGGUAUUCCCUGUACUAAGCACAAUUCAGCAGGAACAGACCCUAAGUUUGCUCACAGUCUGUACAGAGAGAUCCCAUAAAACUAUGGCAGCAUAGCUAAGCUCAUGCAUAGCUCUAACUCUGUAUUUAGCACUGAACCUAUAGUAGUGUAGCAGGGAGCAUGGUGUCAGUGACAAUAUAUAUCAGGGUUGUGCAACCUAUAUUUUCCAGCUGAUGCUGAACUACUCCUUGCGUCCAGUACAUGUUUUGUACAUGAAUUUAAAUGUUAUGUGUACAUGAUAUUUUUGUACAUAUUACAGGUAAAUAAUAUUAUUCUUGUUUUUACUGAUUAUCUUUUUAACUGUGCCCUAUUCAACUUCCCUUCUGCUAGGGAAGCAUAUUGCAGUUUAUAUGCCAAAUCUUAGAGACUUACCUGUAAUUGCAAAAACAAAUAUGAAAACAUUAAAGGCUAAAUAAAAAGUGUUUUAGAACA
This is a long non-coding RNA of Xenopus laevis (African clawed frog), 1001 nucleotides long. RefSeq lists it as uncharacterized. The record is from RefSeq and is a predicted model, not a curated record. The transcript has 2 exons. NCBI's taxonomy places the organism in Eukaryota, Metazoa, Chordata, Amphibia, Anura, Pipidae.